GCGGGUUGAGCGGAGAGAGUCUUGGCGGCCAUGGCUCCCAACGUCCCCGCGUCUGAAGCGGCCACAGAGUGUCCUAAAGGCAUCCAGGCCGUGCUGCUGGGGCCGCCCGGGGCCGGCAAGGGUACCCAGGCACCCAAAUUGGCCAAAAACUUCUGUGUCUGCCAUUUGGCUACUGGGGACAUGCUGAGGGCCAUGGUGGCGUCUGGCUCAGAACUGGGAAAAAAGCUGAAGGCCACUAUGGAUGCUGGAAAGCUGGUGAGCGAUGAAAUGGUAGUGGAGCUCAUUGAGAAGAAUUUGGAGACCCCUCGAUGCAAGAAUGGUUUUCUUCUAGAUGGCUUCCCUAGGACCGUGAGGCAGGCAGAAAUGCUCGAUGACCUCAUGGAGAAGAGGAAAGAGAAGCUUGACUCUGUGAUUGAAUUCAGCAUCCCGGACUCUCUGCUGAUCCGAAGAAUCACAGGAAGGCUGAUUCACCCUCUGAGUGGCCGUUCCUACCACGAGGAGUUCAACCCCCCAAAGGAACACAUGAAAGAUGACAUCACUGGGGAACCCUUGGUCUGCCGAUCAGAUGAUAAUGAGAAGGCCUUGAAAAUCCGCCUGGAGGCCUACCACACUCAGACCACCCCGCUGGUGGAGUACUACAGGAAACGAGGGAUCCAUUCUGUCAUCGACGCCACCCAGACCCCUGACGUCGUGUUUGCCAGCAUCCUAGCGGCCUUCUCCAAAGCCACAUCCUAGUAACAGAAGGCCAGGCGAGACUGCACCACUCUUCAUCACCCCGCGGCGUGAUCCCUGCUCUUUAGGUGCUGGGCAGAGGGGAGGGGUGGUCAGGGUGAGGAUGGAGAGGGAGGAAUGAGGAGGGCCCAAAAGGAGUAACGAAGAGCAGCAAUGUGGUUGUGAGGCCAUCUCUUUCACACGUCCUAGAGGAGUCUGAGAAAGUACAGAGGAGGGGUGAAAU
This is a non-coding RNA of Callorhinus ursinus (northern fur seal), 955 nucleotides long. Lineage: Eukaryota; Metazoa; Chordata; Mammalia; Carnivora; Otariidae. The record is from RefSeq and is a predicted model, not a curated record.